AAAGAAUCAUGCCGCGUGUAGUUCAGAAGUGAAUGAGAUGAUGGAGUGUGUGGAGAGGAUGAGAGGGUCGAGUGAGGUCCCGUUCCGCCGAGGUUUCGGUCCGCGGUCCUGUUAUUACAUCAAAAUCAAAAAAAUGAAAAAGAUUAACUAAGUCUGUCACCUAUGAGUUACAAGAUUCCUAUCUAUAAGUCUUCUGAAGCUUGAUCUUGUGUCUUGCAUGGCUCUUCAUGCGGACUUUAGAUUUGAGCCUUGACCCUUGCUAACUGCAGGUACUAGUUCAUUCUUCUUUAGCUUUUCGGAUCAAGACCGGACAUGUAGCGCUCAUGACUUCAACCAUGUCUUGAGCAGCUCACAUCUUUUAUCAACUCCUGCGCCUUUAUUUUAUUUUGGAUGUGACUAACUUCUGUUGAUCAUCUCAGACUGUUGACUCGCAUUCUUACCGCGAGCUUCUUUUGUUGCUGACUUGAAUUGUAUUCUGAAGUGAAUUCCCUUGAUUUUCCAGGUGGGUGCCUAAUUGCCAAAACUUGAACUGUCUUCCUUUGAAAUUGCUUUCCCUUGAAACUUGAAUUGUCUUCCCUUGUUCUCCAGGUGGGCGCCUGAUUGUUGAACUUGAACUGUCUUCCUUUGAAACUGAUUUCCCGUGAAACUUGAACUGUCUUCUCUUGAAACUUGAACUAUCUUCCCUUGAAACUUGAACUGCCUUCCCUUGUUCUCCAGGUGGGCGCCUGAUUGCUGAAACUUUCUAUGUUCCCCCGGAACUGCUUUCCCUUGAAACUUGCAUUGUCUUCCCUUGAAACUUGAACUAUCUUCCCUUGUUCUCCAGGUGGGUGCCUACAAUCAAAACAACAAAACAAACAAAAUUUCCUGCCCCAAUUUACACUCGGAAGAUUUGUGAGUUGUUAGCAAAACUGUAAACCACUUAUGCUAUUGAUGCAAUGAUGAAAGUAAAAUUAAUGACUCAACUAGGAUGUACAUCUCCUAAAAGUGAUUGAGCUUGCGGAAAACUAUAAACUAAGCUUGACUAAAGUAAAGACUAACCCCAUUCUCCAGGAGGGACCCCUGAUUUCAAGAAAACUAAACAUUGAUAACUUAAGAAACUAAGGUUGACCCCUCUUUUUUUCAAAUCCAGACUUCCCCCUUUUUUCAAAUUAUCCUAGGAGAAAAUUCGUCAGAGUAGGUUUUCUAUCUUAGGAGAAAGAUUCAUCAGACUAAGAUUUUGAUCCUAGGAGAAAGUUCAUCAGACUAGGUCAUUUUUAUCAGUAUCUUAGGAGAAAGAGUCAUCAGACUAAGAUUUCCACCCUAGGAGAAGAUUCAUCAGACUAGGUUUUCUAUCUUAAAUGAAAAAUUCAUCAGACUAAGAUUUCGAUCCUAGGAGAAAGUUCAUCAGACUAGGUCUCUUUUUUUUCAGUAUCUUAGGAGAAAGAUGCAUCAGACUAAGAUUUUUGUCCUAGGAGAAAAAUCAUCAGACUAGGUUUUCUAUCUUAGGAGAAAGAUUCAUCAGACUAAGAUGUUUAUCCUAGGAGAAAAUUUAUCAGAGUAGGACUUCUAUCUUAGGAGAAAGAUU
This 1564-nucleotide long non-coding RNA is filed under the name Nicotiana tabacum (common tobacco). RNAcentral describes it as "long non-coding RNA (NTAB_LNC012712)". Lineage: Eukaryota; Viridiplantae; Streptophyta; Magnoliopsida; Solanales; Solanaceae. The record is from RNAcentral.